GGGGAUGUCUGGUUCGAUAGGGUUCGUCCAGAUUGGUGCGCAUGUAGAGGGCGCUUGCACCCUCUUAAAUCAACGAGCAACAAGAAGUGCAAACUUCACAUCUGCUCUGAAGGAAAAAGCACAGGCAUUCGUGUCUGGACUUAGCCUUCAGCCAGCAGCUGCUCUCGCGUAACGCUUGAGCCAUCCUGCUUCCUGCCGCAAGGAAGAACAACAGGGUGUUAACCCCCCGCGGCUUGAUACAUCAUCGACCCCUUGGCGAAGAUGUAUGACCUAUUCCAAGGGAUGACGCUGCGUAUUUGCACCCUUACUAGCGCUGCGUCGAGAACCCUAAGGGUGCAAUACAUGUACUACGUAUCGGUCUUAUCGGCUCUACACGUGGGUUCGACUCCCACCAUCUCCACCA
RNAcentral lists this transfer-messenger RNA (403 nucleotides) under Candidatus Doudnaibacteriota bacterium. Its description in RNAcentral is "Candidatus Doudnabacteria bacterium transfer-messenger RNA". It matches the Rfam family "transfer-messenger RNA". Rfam says of the family: Bacterial tmRNA, also known as 10Sa RNA or SsrA, is named for its dual tRNA and mRNA-like properties. Lineage: Bacteria; Candidatus Doudnaibacteriota. The record is from RNAcentral.